ACCCGUUGAUCCUGCGGGAAGUUGCUGCUAUCUGGGUUCGACUAAGCCAUGCAAGCACGGGCUCUUCGAGAGUACCGGCAGAUUGCUCAGUAACACGUCGAUAAUCAAACCUUAAGUUUGGGAUAACCUUGGGAAACUGAGGACAAUACCAGAUAUGGAAUUGGUACUGGAAUGUCUAAUUCUACAAAAGUAAUGCUUAAGGAUGGGUCGGCGGCAGAUUAGGUUGUUGGUGAGGUAAAGGCUCACCAAGCCGAAGAUCUGUAGGGGCCUUGAAAGAGGAAGCCCCGAGAAGGGCACUGAGAUACUGGCCCUAGCCCUACGGGGUGCAGCAGGCGCGAAACCUUUACAAUGCACGAGAGUGUGAUAAGGGAACCCAGGGUGCCUAACUAUGUUAGGCUUUUUGCCAAGUGUAAAUAGCUUGGAGAAUAAGUGGUGGGAAAGACUGGUGCCAGCCGCCGCGGUAAUACCAGCGCCACGAGUGGGAACUACAAUUAUUGGGCCUAAAGCGUCCGUAGCCUGUUAAGUAAAUUUCUUGUGAAAUUGUUGCGCUCAACGUAACAGCGUGCAGGAAAGACUGCUUGACUUGGGACUGGGAGGAGUUAGAAGUAUAUUUGGGGUAGCGGUAAAAUGUUAUAAUCCUAAAUAGACUACCUGUGGCGAAAGCGUCUAACUAGAACAGGUCCGACGGUGAGGGACGAAAGCUAGGGGAGCAAACCGGAUUAGAUACCCGAGUAGUCCUAGCCAUAAACGCUGCGAGCAAGAUGUCGCAUAUUCUUCGGGAACAUGCAGUAUCGAAGAGAAGUCGUUAAGCUCGCCGCCUGGGAAGUAUGGUCGCAAGACUGAAACUUAAAGGAAUUGGCGGGGGAGCACUACAAGGGGUGCGGCGUGCGGUUUAAUCUAACUCAACGCAGAGAAUCUCACCAGAAGCGACGGCAGGAUGAAAGUCAGAUUAAAGGUUUCACUUGACGAGCCGAGAGGUAGUGCAUGGCCGCCGUCAGCUCGUUCCGUAAGGUGUCCUGUUAAGUCAGGCAACGAGCGAGACCUGUGCCUACAAUUGCCAGCGGGUCCUUUUGGAUGACCGGGCACAUUGUAGGAACUGCCCUGGAAACAGGGAGGAAGGUGCAGGCUACGGUAGGUCUGUAUGCUCCGAAUCUUCUGGGCUACACGCGCGCAACAAUGGUAAGGACAAUGGGAUGCAACUCCGAAAGGAGAAGCUAAUCCUCGAAACCUUAUCUCGGUUCAGAUUGAGGCUUGUAACUCAGCCUCAUGACGCUGGAAUCCCUAGUAAUCAGGUCUUAUCACGGCCCGGUGAAUAUGUCCCUGCUCCUUGCACACACUGCCCGUCAAAUCAACCGAGUUGAGUCUAGAUGAGAUGCAGUUUCUUUGAUUGUAGCGAAUCUAGGCUUAGUGAGGUGGGUUAAGUCGUCACAAGGUC
RNAcentral lists this ribosomal RNA (1435 nucleotides) under metagenome. Its description in RNAcentral is "bacterial SSU rRNA". It matches the Rfam family "Archaeal small subunit ribosomal RNA". The record is from RNAcentral.